UAAUACGUAGGGUGCAAGCGUUAAUCGGAAUUACUGGGCGUAAAGGGUGCGCAGGCGGCUGUGCAAGACAGAUGUGAAAUCCCCGGGCUUAACCUGGGAACUGCAUUUGUGACUGCACGGCUAGAGUUUGUCAGAGGAGGGUGGAAUUCCGCGUGUAGCAGUGAAAUGCGUAGAUAUGCGGAAGAACACCAAUGGCGAAGGCAGCCCUCUGGGACAUGACUGACGCUCAUGCACGAAAGCGUGGGGAGCAAACAGGAUUAGAUACCCUGGUAGUCCACGCCCUAAACGAUGUCAGCUGAUUGUUCGGGAAGCAAUUCCUGGGUAACCAAGCCAACGCGUGAAGCUGACCGCCUGGGAAGUACGGUCGCAAGAUUA
Molecule: ribosomal RNA, 375 nt
Filed under: uncultured bacterium
Lineage: Bacteria
Description: bacterial SSU rRNA
Rfam family: Bacterial small subunit ribosomal RNA
Source: RNAcentral